ACCCUCCAGAUUCCUUACUCCUCAGAUCUAAAUAUUGGUCUGAGUGGCCGAAAAAGAAAGGAAGAAAAGUAAAACUGAAGUGAACAUGAAGUCUCUUAGGA
Molecule: small nucleolar RNA, 101 nt
Filed under: Echinops telfairi (small Madagascar hedgehog)
Lineage: Eukaryota; Metazoa; Chordata; Mammalia; Afrosoricida; Tenrecidae
Description: Small nucleolar RNA SNORA61 (ENSETEG00000025278.1)
Source: RNAcentral